Long non-coding RNA from Engraulis encrasicolus (European anchovy), 2227 nucleotides. RefSeq lists it as uncharacterized. The transcript has 5 exons. Lineage: Eukaryota; Metazoa; Chordata; Actinopteri; Clupeiformes; Engraulidae. The record is from RefSeq and is a predicted model, not a curated record.
AUGACUUGCUCAUUGAUACAUGUCAAUAUGAGGUGCAUGGCAAAGUAUUUAAUUUAUUUGUCUCGCUUCUAGGAGCUGUAGAAACAACAGGGUGUUCUUUUUCAGGGUAUUCUUUUUUAUAGAACUGGACAGGUCAUUUAUUCGUUAUCCUUGUUUUUGAAGUGUCCUGCAGGAUGCUGUGUCCUGCAAUCCUGUGUACUGUGCUACAGACGCAUGUGGAGGUCAACCCAAAAUGGGCACAGUCUCACCGCAGAAGAGUGAAAGAGGAUCCUGGCAGGGAGACGGUAGUGUCCUGCAGAAUGGUGAUGGGCCAAUCUUACAAGAGACCACAGAAAACUGAUAUAGUGAACUAUAGAAACAACAGUGCCUGCUGCAGUAUAAUGAGGACACCCUGAGCAGAGAGCUCCAAUAGACCCAGGUCCAGUGUCUUGGCAGGGUGAAAUGGCACUGAUAUGGUGUCCUGCAGGAUGCUGUGUCCUGCAAUCCUGUGUGCUGUGCUACAGACGCGUGUGGAGGUCAACCCAAAAUGGGCACAGUCUCACCACAGAAGAGUGAAAGAGGCUUUAAAACUUAAGGCCACCGCUAUGGAGGGAGCGGCUGCAACCGCCACCAGCGCAGCAGCUGCCCAACAAGCUCGACCCUCCGAUUCCUCCACCUCCAGCUCCUCCACCUCCUCUUCAAGUGACUCGGAGCCAGAGAGGAAGAGAAAGAAGAGGAACAAGAGAGACAGGAAAAAGAGAGAGAAGAAGAGGAAGAAGGACAAGCACAGACAGACAGAAGGAGAGAACUUGCGAACACUUGCACCCUAUUGCGGAGCUCGCCUUCAGGUGGGCACAUGCAGAAAAUUGAACAGCUUAAUGAUUAACAACGAUUUUUAGAACCUGAACAAGGACUGCCUGCUUACCUUUUUUUUUUUCAUCUUUUUGAAAUAUCUAGCAGGUCCCCCUUUCUUUUCAGUUGCUGUAUCUCCUGCAUGUGCCCACCUGAUUCACACUGUGUGGCACAGUCCUUGGUGAAGUUAAAUAAACUAUCACCAGGAAGAUAUGUCUCCCUAAUUUCCAUGUAAUCAUCAGGGCUGACCGUUGCAAGCUCCGCAAUAGGGGCUUGGUUGCAGAUGGUAUUUCUGUCGAUCGGAAUUUUUUUCGUACGCCGCCGUCUUGCUUAAACCCUUUCUCACCAGCCUGACCACCUCCAUAUAGCGGGGGGCUAGCGGGAGCUGUCUGUAAAAUAUCUGUAUUUUGUUUGUAUAUUUUACAGUAUCACCGCGGAAGGGCCUCUGCUACAUGGCGAAGAAAAAAAUAGGUCUUUGGCAUUUUAGGGAUAAGAAACGAGCGGAGGUGUCCCAUCCUGUGGCUGGUGAGGAGAAGAGGACGGGAGAAUCUUAUCCCAAUUGUGGUCAAGCAUGUGCGUCCAGGAGCCACCCUGAUCAGUGAUGAGUGGCGAGCAUACAGAGGCGCAUUAGCUGCCAUUGGCUACACUCACUUCACUGUUAACCAUUCAAGAUGGUUUGUUGAUCCAAACAGUGGGGCCCAUACACAGCACCUUGAGAGGGGUUACUGCCACACUUAUUGUGUGUGUGUGUGUGUGUGUGUGUGUGUGUGUGUGUGUGUGUUACAAUAUGUGAAGGCCUAUGACUUGCUUUCAUAAUAAUAAAAAGUUAUUGCUCUCUGUCUGGUGCUUUGAUUGUAUUUAAAAGUUCAGAAAAUACACUACAUCAAAAUAGGCCUAUGUAAUGAGUUAUGUGUUAUAAUGCUGUGACUUCACUUGGCGGGGGAGUUAAUGAUUGGGAAGGUUGUUAAUGAUUGAUUAGUUGACUGUAUAGAAAUGGUUGAUUACACACUUGUUUUCAGUAUAGUAAUCAUGUGUUAAGUUAACACAUGAUUACUAUACUGAAAACAAGUGUGUUAACCUAUCAUAAUGUCAUGGCUUUACUUAAGGUGGCCAAGAAAACGUGAAUGAAUAUUGUAGUAAUCAUGAGCACACAUGAUCAUGUAAUGACUUUACUUGGGGUGGCAAAGACAACAUGAAUUCAUAGUAUACUACGAUGUCAAUGAUAUGUAAUAUAUUAGGCUAAACAUUAGGCUGGUCAUUGGCUGAUAUAACCAGAAGGUAUCAGAUGCAUGUGUGGGCACAAUCACGUCACUGGGUAGUCUAAGUAUGAUUAUCAGUUUUGAGAAGUGGUGACUUGGCGUUUGGCCUACCACAAGGGCCUAUUAAUAUAAUAGCC